AGACCAAUUUCAGGAGAGGGUUCCAGGAAGAGAAGGACGACAGAGUCAGGGGAAGAUGGUGCAAAGCCAUCACGGUGCCGCCACUGUAAGCGGAGAGCCCUUCUGCAUAAGGCCACUGUGCGCGAUGAGCGUAUGGGAAGGCGCAGGAGGCGCGAGGACCCGCAAGUCAGGAAACCCGCUUGUCGUCACAUCGAACU
Molecule: non-coding RNA, 197 nt
Filed under: Nitrospirota bacterium
Lineage: Bacteria; Pseudomonadati; Nitrospirota
Source: RNAcentral